Molecule: ribosomal RNA, 254 nt
Filed under: uncultured bacterium
Lineage: Bacteria
Description: partial 16S ribosomal RNA
Rfam family: Bacterial small subunit ribosomal RNA
Source: RNAcentral
UACGUAGGGGGGCGAGCGUUGUCCGGAAUCAUUGGGCGUAAAGAGCGUGUAGGCGGCUUGGCAAGUCUGACGUGAAAGCCCGCGGCUCAACCGCGGAUUGUCGUUGGAAACUGCCUCGCUAGAGUCCGGAAGAGGAGAGCGGAAUUCCUGGUGUAGCGGUGGAAUGCGCAGAUAUCAGGAAGAACACCCGUGGCGAAGGCGGCUCUCUGGGACGGUACUGACGCUGAGACGCGAAAGCGUGGGGAGCGAACAGG